Molecule: ribosomal RNA, 403 nt
Filed under: bacterium
Lineage: Bacteria
Description: partial 16S ribosomal RNA
Rfam family: Bacterial small subunit ribosomal RNA
Source: RNAcentral
UGGGGAAUAUUGCACAAUGGGGGAAACCCCGAUGCAGCGACGCCGCGUGAACGAAGAAGGUAUUCGUAUCGUAAAGUUCUGUCCUAUGGGAAGAUAAUGACAGUACCAUAGAAGAAAGCUCCGGCUAAAUACGUGCCAGCAGCCGCGGUAAUACGUAUGGAGCGAGCGUUGUCCGGAAUUAUUGGGCGUAAAGGGUACGCAGGCGGUUUAAUAAGUCGAAUGUUAAAGAUCGGGGCUCAACCCCGUAAAGCAUUGGAAACUGAUAAACUUGAGUAGUGGAGAGGAAAGUGGAAUUCCUAGUGUAGUGGUGAAAUACGUAGAUAUUAGGAGGAAUACCAGUAGCGAAGGCGACUUUCUGGACACAAACUGACGUUGAGGUACGAAAGCGUGGGGAGCAAACAGG